GGGUCAGUAGGUUGGUCGUGCCACCGGUACGUACUGGUCUCACUGAUUCCUCCUUCCUGAAGAACCGUAAUGCCAUUAAUUUGGUGUUGCGGGGAAACAGGACUGUUACUUUGAAAAAAUUAGAGUUUUUAAAGCAAGCUAACGCUUGAAUACAUUAGCAUGGGAUAAUGAAAUAGGACGAUCGAUCCUAUUUUGUUGGUUUCUAGGAUUGACGUA
Molecule: ribosomal RNA, 216 nt
Filed under: Glomeromycotina sp.
Lineage: Eukaryota; Fungi; Glomeromycota
Description: partial small subunit ribosomal RNA
Rfam family: Eukaryotic small subunit ribosomal RNA (bases 40-216)
Source: RNAcentral